UGCAGUCGAGCGGUAAGGCCCUUCGGGGUACACGAGCGGCGAACGGGUGAGUAACACGUGGGUGAUCUGCCCUGCACUUCGGGAUAAGCCUGGGAAACUGGGUCUAAUACCGGAUAUGACCUUCGGCUGCAUGGCUGAGGGUGGAAAGGUUUACUGGUGCAGGAUGGGCCCGCGGCCUAUCAGCUUGUUGGUGGGGUAAUGGCCUACCAAGGCGACGACGGGUAGCCGACCUGAGAGGGUGACCGGCCACACUGGGACUGAGACACGGCCCAGACUCCUACGGGAGGCAGCAGUGGGGAAUAUUGCACAAUGGGCGAAAGCCUGAUGCAGCGACGCCGCGUGAGGGAUGACGGCCUUCGGGUUGUAAACCUCUUUCAGCAGGGACGAAGCGAAAGUGACGGUACCUGCAGAAGAAGCACCGGCUAACUACGUGCCAGCAGCCGCGGUAAUACGUAGGGUGCAAGCGUUGUCCGGAAUUACUGGGCGUAAAGAGUUCGUAGGCGGUUUGUCGCGUCGUUUGUGAAAACUCACAGCUCAACUGUGAGCCUGCAGGCGAUACGGGCAGACUUGAGUACUGCAGGGGAGACUGGAAUUCCUGGUGUAGCGGUGAAAUGCGCAGAUAUCAGGAGGAACACCGGUGGCGAAGGCGGGUCUCUGGGCAGUAACUGACGCUGAGGAACGAAAGCGUGGGUAGC
Molecule: ribosomal RNA, 695 nt
Filed under: Rhodococcus jostii
Lineage: Bacteria; Bacillati; Actinomycetota; Actinomycetes; Mycobacteriales; Nocardiaceae
Description: bacterial SSU rRNA
Rfam family: Bacterial small subunit ribosomal RNA
Source: RNAcentral